Non-coding RNA from Pelobates cultripes (western spadefoot toad), 229 nucleotides. NCBI's taxonomy places the organism in Eukaryota, Metazoa, Chordata, Amphibia, Anura, Pelobatidae. The record is from the annotation of a GenBank genome assembly.
GAGAAAGUCUGUAGGGUAGGGUAGGAAAGGCAUGAUCUACGUGUAGUUGAGAAAUAGAAUGGCAAGGUGGGGAGAAUUCUUACCUCAGCUGUUAAAACAUGUUGGUAAAGUAGCAUGCAAAGCUAUUGGUUGUAAGGUUAGUCUGAGGGGUGUCCACAGCAGGGCGAAGAAGACCCCUGGGAUUGCGGGAGCAUGAACUAAUGAGAGAGGAAAAGCAUGACUGUUUGGC